This 253-nucleotide ribosomal RNA is filed under the name uncultured bacterium. RNAcentral's name for it is "partial 16S ribosomal RNA". It matches the Rfam family "Bacterial small subunit ribosomal RNA", at positions 524 to 776 of the family's 1533-position model. The record is from RNAcentral.
UACGAGGGGGGCGAGCGUUGUUCGGAAUUACUGGGCGUAAAGAGUGCGUAGGCGGUUCGUUAAGUCAGCUGUGAAAGCCCCGGGCUCAACCUGGGAACUGCGGUUGAAACUGGCGAACUAGAAUCUGGCAGAGGGGGGUGGAAUUCCACGUGUAGCAGUGAAAUGCGUAGAGAUGUGGAGGAACACCGAUGGCGAAGGCAGCCCCCUGGGCUGAGAUUGACGCUCAGGCACGAAAGCGUGGGGAGCGAACAGG